Molecule: ribosomal RNA, 113 nt
Filed under: Caerostris darwini
Lineage: Eukaryota; Metazoa; Arthropoda; Arachnida; Araneae; Araneidae
Source: RNAcentral
AACGGCCGUACCAUGCUGAAUAUACUGGUUCUCGUUAGAUCACCGAAGUCAAGCAUCAUUGGGCGCGGUCAGUACUUGGGUGGGUGACCACCUGGGGAACACCGCGUGCCGUU